Molecule: transfer RNA, 98 nt
Filed under: Ephemerocybe angulata
Lineage: Eukaryota; Fungi; Basidiomycota; Agaricomycetes; Agaricales; Psathyrellaceae
Description: Coprinellus angulatus tRNA
Rfam family: tRNA
About the family: Transfer RNA (tRNA) molecules are approximately 80 nucleotides in length.
Source: Rfam by way of RNAcentral
GGCUACCUGGCGCAAUGGUAGCGCGUUUGGCUUCGACGGCUCAACGGCAAUUUGCGAUAGGCACCAAAAGGUUGCAGGUUCGAGUCCUGCGGUGGUCA